RNAcentral lists this transfer RNA (64 nucleotides) under Ectemnonotum fruhstorferi. RNAcentral describes it as "tRNA-His". The record is from RNAcentral. Lineage: Eukaryota; Metazoa; Arthropoda; Insecta; Hemiptera; Cercopidae.
ACUUGAAUAUUUUAUUUAAAAUUAUAAUUUGUGGAAUUAUAGAUGUUUGUAUUGACUUUAAGUC